AUGUCUGAUAUGGAGAUUUUGAAGCAUGUGAGAGAUGUCGAUUGUUAUCCCAAUGUCUUCAUUGAUUAUUGCAUCUUAUUUACUGUGCAUGUGUCUGUCGCAUCGGUUGGACGAGGCUUUUCAAAGUAGAAAUUAUUGAAGAACUAUUUAAGGUCAACAAUGACUCAACAGAUAUUAAAUGGAUUGAUAAUAUUAUGCAUCGAGAAGAAAUUAUUGGAUGAGAUUGACAUUAACCCUCUCAUAAGUGACUUUACAUUUAAGAUGUGUUUGUUUCGUGAACGAAGUGUAAUGGAAUGUCAUGGUUCCGUUCCACUAUAA
This 318-nucleotide ribosomal RNA is filed under the name Triticum aestivum (bread wheat). RNAcentral describes it as "partial small subunit ribosomal RNA". Lineage: Eukaryota; Viridiplantae; Streptophyta; Magnoliopsida; Poales; Poaceae. The record is from RNAcentral.